GAUGAACGCUGGCGGCGUGCCUAAUACAUGCAAGUCGAGCGAACAGACGAGGAGCUUGCUCCUCUGACGUUAGCGGCGGACGGGUGAGUAACACGUGGAUAACCUACCUAUAAGACUGGGAUAACUUCGGGAAACCGGAGCUAAUACCGGAUAAUAUAUUGAACCGCAUGGUUCAAUAGUGAAAGACGGUUUUGCUGUCACUUAUAGAUGGAUCCGCGCCGCAUUAGCUAGUUGGUAAGGUAACGGCUUGCCAAGGCAACGAUGCGUAGCCGACCUGAGAGGGUGGGAGGGAACAUGAGAACGUCGAACCGGAGGAGAGACCGACGGAGGGCGGCCGUAGGGAAGAUUGUGCAAGGUGAGAAAAUCAGAAGGAUAAAAGACACGGGAAGAAAGAAGGUCUACGGAUCGUAAAACUCUGUGACGAUUGAAAAACAAAAAUGCAAGUAAAAGUGCACAGCGGGAGCGGCGCUAAUAAGAAAGCAACGGCUCAUUACGUG
RNAcentral lists this ribosomal RNA (497 nucleotides) under uncultured bacterium. RNAcentral describes it as "partial 16S ribosomal RNA". It matches the Rfam family "Bacterial small subunit ribosomal RNA", at positions 28 to 507 of the family's 1533-position model. The record is from RNAcentral.